RNAcentral lists this ribosomal RNA (1257 nucleotides) under human gut metagenome. RNAcentral's name for it is "bacterial LSU rRNA". It matches the Rfam family "Bacterial large subunit ribosomal RNA", at positions 1064 to 2351 of the family's 2925-position model. The record is from RNAcentral.
UGGAAAAGGAUGUGGGAUUUCGAAGACAACUAGGAUGUUGGCUCAGAAGCAGCCAUACAUUCAAAGAGUGCGUAAUAGCUCACUAGUCGAGAGGUCCUGCGCCGAAAAUGUCCGGGGCUGAAACACAACACCGAAGCUGCGGAACCCGCAAGGGUUGGUAGAGGAGCAUUCUUAAAGGAACGAAGCAGUACCGAAAGGAGCUGUGGACUUUUAAGAAGAGAGAAUGCCGGAAUGAGUAGCGAGAGGAAGGUGGGAAUCCUUCCGGCCGAAUAUCUAAGGUUUCCAGGGUAAAGCUGAUCUGCCCUGGGUAAGUCGGGACCUAAGGCGAGGCCGAGAGGCGUAGUCGAUGGACAACAGGUUGAAAUUCCUGUACUAUCCUGUAACAGAACUGUGGGGACGCAGAAAGAGAGCGUGAGCCGGGAAUGGAAAGACCGGUGCAAGCGAGGUAGGAGUCGCAUAGGCAAAUCCGUGCGGCAAUCCGAAGACGUGACGCGGACCGAAAACAAGUAGGGAAGCACGUGAGCUGGCUGCCAAGAAAAGCCGCUAUUGUUUGCAGGAUACCCGUACCGUAAACCGACACAGGUGGAUGAGGAGAGAAUCCUAAGGCCGACGGGAGAAGCAUUGUUAAGGAACUCGGCAAAAUGACUCCGUAACUUCGGGAGAAGGAGUGCCUCGAGAGAGGCCGCAGAGAAUUGGCCCAAGCAACUGUUUAGCAAAAACACAGGUCUAUGCGAAACCGAAAGGUGAGGUAUAUGGGCUGACGCCUGCCCGGUGCUGGAAGGUUAAGGGGAGAGGUUAGCGCAAGCGAAGCUUUGAACUUAAGCCCCAGUAAACGGCGGCCGUAACUAUAACGGUCCUAAGGUAGCGAAAUUCCUUGUCGGGUAAGUUCCGACCCGCACGAAAGGCGUAAUGAUUUGAGCACUGUCUCGACAAUGCAUCCGGUGAAAUUGAAGUACCAGUGAAGAUGCUGGUUACCUGCGCCAGGACGGAAAGACCCCAUGGAGCUUUACUCUAGCUUGAUACUGGGAUUCGGUAUUGCAUGUACAGGAUAGGUGGGAGACUAAGAGGUGAUGACGCCAGUUGUCACGGAGUCGAUGUUGGGAUACCACCCCUGCAGUACUGGGUUUCUAACCUGCGGCCGUGACCCGGCCGGGGGACAAUGUCUGGUGGGGAGUUUGACUGGGGCGGUCGCCUCCGAAAGGGUAUCGGAGGCGCUCAAAGGUUCCCUCAGAAUGGUUGGAAACCAUUCGAAGAGUG